RNAcentral lists this ribosomal RNA (523 nucleotides) under Riemerella anatipestifer. Its description in RNAcentral is "bacterial SSU rRNA". It matches the Rfam family "Bacterial small subunit ribosomal RNA", at positions 32 to 534 of the family's 1533-position model. Lineage: Bacteria; Pseudomonadati; Bacteroidota; Flavobacteriia; Flavobacteriales; Weeksellaceae. The record is from RNAcentral.
GAUUGACCUUGGGCUAUGAUGACGCUAGCGGGAGGCCUAACACAUGCAAGCCGAGCGGUAGAGUAUCUUCGGAUACUUGAGAGCGGCGUACGGGUGCGGAACACGUGUGCAACCUGCCUUUAUCUGAGGGAUAGCCUUUCGAAAGGGAGAUUAAUACCUCAUAAUAUACUGAUUGGCAUCAAUUGGUAUUGAAAGCUCCGGCGGAUAGAGAUGGGCACGCGCAAGAUUAGAUAGUUGGUGAGGUAACGGCUCACCAAGUCAAUGAUCUUUAGGGGGCCUGAGAGGGUGAUCCCCCACACUGGUACUGAGACACGGACCAGACUCCUACGGGAGGCAGCAGUGAGGAAUAUUGGACAAUGGGUGCAAGCCUGAUCCAGCCAUCCCGCGUGAAGGACGACGGCCCUAUGGGUUGUAAACUUCUUUUGUACAGGGAUAAACCUACCCUCGUGAGGGUAGCUGAAGGUACUGUACGAAUAAGCACCGGCUAACUCCGUGCCAGCCGCCGCGGUAAUUCCCCCUGGCG